GCUAAGCUCACCGCUGACGGUUCCCUCCGGGGAUCAAAAGGGAACGCGGUGAGGGCUCGCCCGAGGCCGCGGCUGCCCCCGCAACUGUAAGCGGCGAGCUUUCCAUCACGAACGUCACUGGGAACCCGCAACGGUCCCUGGGAAGACGAUGGACGGCGACGACCCGUGAGCCAGGAGACCUGCCGUCAGCCGUGGUCACAC
Molecule: non-coding RNA, 201 nt
Filed under: Methylobacterium platani
Lineage: Bacteria; Pseudomonadati; Pseudomonadota; Alphaproteobacteria; Hyphomicrobiales; Methylobacteriaceae
Source: RNAcentral